CCUAAGUGAGACAUCUGGGAGGGCCCAGAGGUUUCAGUUUUCGUGAGUCUUCCAAGGGAUUCUACACCCAAACCUAUGACAUCCUCUGGCCUAACGUAGAACUGACACAGGAAGAACUCGGUAGGCCACCAAUGAGGCCGCUCUAUGAACAGCAGGAUCUCCAGCAUCUCAUGUUAAAGGAGUUGAUCACAUGUCUGGACCUACAUAAACCAACAUGCGCUUCCAAAUGGCAUGAAGAAUCCCUGAUCUCUCUCUGUAGUCAGUCUAGAUUCAGUGUGGGAGACGGGGUUUUCUGUAGUUACAAAAUACCUUUUUAUGUGUUCCUCAAGGAACUAAGUGUCUGAAAUCUACACUCAAGUCUCCUGAGUUUCCAUUUAGAAGAUGACAUUUCGGUAAAACUUGGAAAGCUUCUAUAGGCAGUGCUCUUGUCCGGAGAAUGGAAUAAAUAAAACCCGGGGUCUCCUGAAGAUCCAUACCCUGUCCACCCGGUGGCAAACUCAGAAGCCUGUGUGCUGUUGUGUGGAUGAGAACAGAAGAAAACUGUACUCUAAUUGGAAAGAAAACGUGCUCAUUUUCAACAGUUGUGGGGGGACAGAACACCUGGAGCGCCUUCUGAGAAACCAGGCCAAAUGGCCUAACCUGCUCUGUCUUGGAACAUUUGGGAGCGUUCUAGACAGGUCACAUGUCAGUAUUGGUGAUGGAAAAAUACACUGUGCUUGUGGGUAGAGAAAUCA
Long non-coding RNA from Myodes glareolus (Bank vole), 734 nucleotides. RefSeq lists it as uncharacterized. Lineage: Eukaryota; Metazoa; Chordata; Mammalia; Rodentia; Cricetidae. The record is from RefSeq and is a predicted model, not a curated record.